CUUUAGUAGCGGACGGGUGAGUAACGCGUAAGAAUUUACCUUUAGGAAGGGAACAACAUUUAGAAAUGAAUGCUAAUGCCCUAUAUGCUUUUAUCUACUUGAGUUGAUAAAAGUGAAAUGAAUUAUAUUCGCCUGAAGAAAAGCUUGCGUCUGAUUAGCUAGUUGGCAGGGUAAUAGCCUACCAAGGCGACGAUCAGUAGCUGGUUUGAGAGGAUGACCAGCCACACUGGAACUGAGACACGGCCCAGACUCC
RNAcentral lists this ribosomal RNA (253 nucleotides) under uncultured bacterium. Its description in RNAcentral is "partial 16S ribosomal RNA". It matches the Rfam family "Bacterial small subunit ribosomal RNA", at positions 90 to 339 of the family's 1533-position model. The record is from RNAcentral.